Pelobates cultripes (western spadefoot toad) is the source of this 215-nucleotide non-coding RNA. The record is from the annotation of a GenBank genome assembly. Lineage: Eukaryota; Metazoa; Chordata; Amphibia; Anura; Pelobatidae.
GGAAUGGUCAAGAAUUACUCCUGACCGUUGUGCACGUCUGAUCUGCAACUACAGGAAACGUUUGGUUGAAGUUAUUGCUGCCAAAGGAGGUUCAACCAGUUAUUAAAUCCAAGGGUUCACAUGCUUUUUCCACCUGCACUGUGAAUGUUUACAUGGUGUGUUCAAUAAAAACAUGGCAACAUUUCAUUAUUUGUGUGUUAUUAGUUUAAGCAGAC